GACGAACGCUGGCGGCGUGCCUAAUACAUGCCAGUAGAACGCACAGUUUAUACCGUAGCUUGCUACACCAUAGACUGUGAGUUGCGAACGGGUGAGUAACGCGUAGGUAACCUGCCUGGUAGCGGGGGAUAACUAUUGGAAACGAUAGCUAAUACCGCAUAAUAUUAAUUAUUGCAUGAUAAUUGAUUGAAAGAUGCAACUGCAUCACUACCAGAUGGACCUGCGUUGUAUUAGCUAGUAGGUGAGGUAACGGCUCACCUAGGCGACGAUACAUAGCCGACCUGAGAGGGUGAUCGGCCACACUGGGACUGAGACACGGCCCAGACUCCUACGGGAGGCAGCAGUAGGGAAUCUUCGGCAAUGGACGAAAGUCUGACCGAGCAACGCCGCGUGAGUGAAGAAGGGUUUCGGAUCGUAAAGCUCUGUUGUAAGAGAAGAACGGGUGUGAGAGUGGAAAGUUCACACUGUGACGGUAUCUUACCAGAAAGGGACGGCUAACUACGUG
RNAcentral lists this ribosomal RNA (505 nucleotides) under uncultured bacterium. Its description in RNAcentral is "partial 16S ribosomal RNA". It matches the Rfam family "Bacterial small subunit ribosomal RNA", at positions 28 to 507 of the family's 1533-position model. The record is from RNAcentral.